CAGUCGUACCGGCGGAUAAUCAGCUUUUUGAGUGUGAUUAUGUGGUUUAUGAGGAGUUUAACCGCCUUCAUGUAUUGCAUAUUUGUGCUCUUGGGUGUACUUGCUCGUGUGGUUGGUUAACAUCAAUUUCGGACGCCAUAAAAUGGCUGGAGGAAUGUAGCUUCGAUCUCGUAUUGAAGUGUUAUAGCCUUUGGUAGAUGUGAUGAUCAGGAUUGAGGAUUGCAACGGAUACCCUUUCGGGGCUACUGUCUGAUCUCUGAUUGUUGCUCUGUGCUGAAAGCUUGCUUAUGGCUAUCAGAAUCGAUGGUCAAUAGGUUAGAAU
Molecule: ribosomal RNA, 322 nt
Filed under: Glomus sp. (unid)
Lineage: Eukaryota; Fungi; Glomeromycota; Glomeromycetes; Glomerales; Glomeraceae
Source: RNAcentral